Molecule: ribosomal RNA, 501 nt
Filed under: uncultured bacterium
Lineage: Bacteria
Description: partial 16S ribosomal RNA
Rfam family: Bacterial small subunit ribosomal RNA
Source: RNAcentral
AUUGAACGCUGGCGGCAGGCUUAACACAUGCAAGUCGAGCGGAGAUGAGGUGCUUGCACCUUAUCUUAGCGGCGGACGGGUGAGUAAUGCUUAGGAAUCUGCCUAUUAGUGGGGGACAACAUUCCGAAAGGAAUGCUAAUACCGCAUACGUCCUACGGGAGAAAGCAGGGGAUCUUCGGACCUUGCGCUAAUAGAUGAGCCUAAGUCGGAUUAGCUAGUUGGUGGGGUAAAGGCCUACCAAGGCGACGAUCUGUAGCGGGUCUGAGAGGAUGACCAGCCACAGUGGGACUGAGACCGGGGCCAGACUCCUCCGGGAGGCAGCAGUAGGGAAUAUUGGACAAUGGGGGGAACCCUGAUCCAGCCAUGCCGCGUGUGUGAAGAAGGCCUUAUGGUUGUAAAGCACUUUAAGCGAGGAGGAGGCUACUGAGACUAAUACUCUUGGAUAGUGGACGUUACUCGCAGAAUAAGCACCGGCUAACUCUGUGCCAGCAGCCGCGGUAA